Molecule: long non-coding RNA, 3109 nt
Filed under: Salmo salar (Atlantic salmon)
Lineage: Eukaryota; Metazoa; Chordata; Actinopteri; Salmoniformes; Salmonidae
Description: lncRNA (ENSSSAG00000111559.1)
Source: RNAcentral
UCCUCUCCUCCUCCUCUCCCCUUCCUCUCCCCUUCCUCUCCUCCUCCUCUCCCCUUCCUCUCCCCCUCCUCUCCCCUUCCUCUCCCCUUCCUCUCCUCCUCCUCUCCCCUUCCUCUCCCCUUCCUCUCCUCCUCCUCUCCCCUUCCUCUCCCCUUCCUCUCCCCUUCCUCUCCCCUUCCUCUCCCCUUCCUCUCCCCCUCCUCUCCUCCUCCAAUGCUGUUGUAAAGGAUCUCCAUUCUCAGGUUGUUAACAGGUCUAUAUUUGGGUUGGAUUGUUUAUAGUGGUGUCUGUAUUAACAUCAUAUAGCUUUGUCCAACUCCAGUAGGAUUAUAAUCUAUGAAUCUCCUUCUCAUUAAAUAUAACCUCUGGUUUAAACUCUCAUUCCUUACUCUGUCCGCCUGUCAAUCCCUCUCCCUGCAUCAAAGCUUUAGUGACUUAGUUAACUCUGGUUCAGCUGCCUGAGUUGCUCUGGUUUAGCUGCCUGAGUUGCUCUGGUUCAGCUGCCUGAGUUGCUCUGGUUCAGCUGCCUGAGUUGCUCUGGUUUAGCUGCCUGAGUUGCUCUGGUUCAGCUGCCUGAGUUGCUCUGGUUCAGCUGCCUGAGUUGCUCUGGUUCAGCUGCCUGAGUUGCUCUGGUUCAGCUGCCUGAGUUGCUCUGGUUCAGCUGCCUGAGUUGCUCUGGUUCAGCUGCCUGAGUUGCUCUGGUUUAGCUGCCUGAGUUGCUCUGGUUCAGCUGCCUGAGUUGCUCUGGUUCAGCUGCCUGAGUUGCUCUGGUUUAGCUGCCUGAGUUGCUCUGGUUCAGCUGCCUGAGUUGCUCUGGUUUAGCUGCCUGAGUUGCUCUGGUUUAGCUGCCUGAGUUACCUGGCUGUUGGAUGGAAUUUGUAUGAAUGUUCUGUGAUGGUUGUAUGGAUGUUCUGUGAUGGUUGUGUGGAUGUUCUGUGAUGGUUGUGUGGAUGUUCUGUGAUGGUUGUAUGAUGUUCUGUGAUGGUUGUAUGGAUGUUCUGUGAUGGUUGUAUGGAUGUUCUGUGGUGGUUGUACGGAUGUUCUGUGAUGGUUGUAUGGAUGUUCUGUGAUGGUUGUGUGAAUGUUCUGUGAUGGUUGUAUGAAUGUUCUGUGAUGGUUGUAUGGAUGUUCUGUGAUGGUUGUAUGAAUGUUCUGUGAUCGUUGUAUGGAUGUUCUGUGAUGGUUGUAUGGAUGUUCUGUGAUGGUUGUAUGGAUGUUCUGUGAUGGUUGUGUGAAUGUUCUGUGAUGGUUGUAUGGAUGUUCUGUGAUGGUUGUAUGGAUGUUCUGUGGUGGUUGUAUGGAUGUUCUGUGAUGGUUGUAUGGAUGUUCUGUGAUGGUUGUGUGAAUGUUCUGUGAUGGUUGUAUGGAUGUUCUGUGAUGGUUGUAUGGAUGUUCUGUGAUGGUUGUAUGGAUGUUCUGUGGUGGUUGUAUGGAUGUUAUAUUGUGGUUGUAUGGAUGUUCUGUGGUGGUUGUAUGAAUGUUCUGUGAUGGUUGUAUGGAUGUUCUGUGGUGGUUGUAUGAAUGUUCUGUGAUGGUUGUAUGGAUGUUCUGUGAUGGUUGUAUGAAUGUUCUGUGGUGGUUGUAUGGAUGUUCUGUGAUGGUUGUAUGAAUGUUCUGUGAUGGUUGUGUGAAUGUUCUGUGAUGGUUGUAUGGAUGUUCUGUGAUGGUUGUAUGAAUGUUCUGUGGUGGUUGUAUGGAUGUUCUGUGAUGGUUGUAUGGAUGUUCUGUGAUGGUUGUAUGGAUGUUCUGUGAUGGUUGUAUGGAUGUUCUGUGAUGGUUGUAUGAAUGUUCUGUGAUGGUUGUGUGAAUGUUCUGUGAUGGUUGUAUGAUGUUCUGUGAUGGUUGUAUGAAUGUUCUGUGAUGGUUGUAUGAAUGCUCUGUGAUGGUUGUAUGAAUGUUCUGUGAUGGUUGUAUGGAUGUUAUGAGAUGGUUGUGUGGAUGUUAGAUGUUGUAUGAAUGUUCUGUGAUGGUUGUAUGAUGUUCUGUGAUGGUUGUAUGGAUGUUCUGUGAUGGUUGUAUGAAUGCUCUGUGAUGGUUGUAUGAAUGUUCUGUGAUGGUUGUAUGGAUGUUAUGAGAUGGUUGUGUGGAUGUUAGAUGUUGUAUGAAUGUUCUGUGAUGGUUGUGUGAAUGUUCUGUGAUGGUUGUGUGAAUGUUCUGUGAUGGUUGUGUGAAUGUUCUGUGAUGGUUGUAUGAAUGUUCUGUGAUGGUUGUGUGGAUGUUCUGUGAUGUUGUAUGAAUGUUAGGAGAUGGUUGUGUGGAUGUUCUGUGAUGGUUGUGUGGAUGUUAGGAGAUGGUUGUAUGAAUGUUAGGAGAUGGUUGUGUGGAUGUUCAGUGAUGGUUGUGUGAAUGUUCUGUGAUGGUUGUGUGAAUGUUCUGUGAUGGUUGUGUGAAUGUUCUGUGAUGGUUGUGUGAAUGUUCUGUGAUAGUUGUAUGAAUGUUCUGUGAUGGUUGUGUGGCUGUUCUGUGAUGGUUGUGUGGAUGUUAGGAGAUGGUUGUGUGGAUGUUAGGAGAUGGUUGUGUGGAUGUUCCUCCCAAUACAUUGAGGUUGACAGGUCUUCUCAGUGUUCUCUGACCCUGAGGUAGGACUAGGGGUCAGGGUGAGGUAGGGCUAGGGGUCAGGGUGAGGUAGGGCUAGUGGUCAGGGUGAGGUAGGGUUAGUGAGGUAGGGCUAGGGGACAGGGUUAGUGAGGUAGGGCUAGGGGUCAGGGUUAGUGAGGUAGGGCUAGGGGACAGGGUGAGGUAGGGCUAGGGGUCAGGGUGAGGUAGGGUUACUGAGGUAGGGCUAGGGGUCAGGGUGAGGUAGGGCUAGUGAGGUAGGGCUAGGGGACAGGGUGAGGUAGAGCUAGGGAGGUAGGGCUAGGGGUCAGGGUGAGGUAGGGUUAGUGAGGUAGGGCUAGGGGACAGGGUGAGGUAGGGCUAGUGAGGUAGGGCUAGGGGUUUGGGUUGCUAGUUUGGUAGUGUUAGUUUGAUAGACAGGUGUCAGAUUGAGUGUCUGAGCCUGAACCAACUGACCAUCUAACCUUUAACCUCUGACCUGGAAGUCUUAUGAAUAACUCUCUGGCAUUGCUGUCAGACUUAGUAGCCGACAGGAAGUCUGAGGUCUUACGCG